AACGAACGCUGGCGGCAGGCCUAAUACAUGCAAGUCGAACGGCAGCACAGCAGAGCUUGCUCUGUGGGUGGCGAGUGGCGGACGGGUGAGGAAUACGUGGGAAUCUGCCCAGUCGUGGGGGAUAACGUAGGGAAACUUACGCUAAUACCGCAUGCGCCCUUCGGGGGAAAGCCGGGGGACCUUCGGGCCUGGCGCGAUUGGAUGAGCCCACGUCGGAUUAGCUAGUUGGCGGGGUAAAGGCCCACCAAGGCGACGAUCCGUAGCUGGUCUGAGAGGAUGAUCAGCCACACUGGAACUGAGACACGGUCCAGACUCCUACGGGAGGCAGCAGUAGGGAAUAUUGGACAAUGGGCGCAAGCCUGAUCCAGCCAUGCCGCGUGAGUGAAGAAGGCCCUCGGGUUGUAAAGCUCUUUUGUCCGGAAAGAAAAGCGCCGGGUUAAUACCCUGGUGUCCUGACGGUACCGGAAGAAUAAGCACCGGCUAACUUCGUGCCAGCAGCCGCGGUAAU
Molecule: ribosomal RNA, 508 nt
Filed under: uncultured bacterium
Lineage: Bacteria
Description: bacterial SSU rRNA
Rfam family: Bacterial small subunit ribosomal RNA
Source: RNAcentral